Molecule: long non-coding RNA, 175 nt
Organism: Neodiprion fabricii
Lineage: Eukaryota; Metazoa; Arthropoda; Insecta; Hymenoptera; Diprionidae
Exons: 3
Source: RefSeq, a predicted model, not a curated record
UGUACCACUGAUAUAUAUAUACACUGGAUUGGAUUUAAGCGUGGUGCCGUCACGCCAAUUGAACGUAACAAUUAUUGAGGUAACAAUGAGUACCUGCGUUUUUUGCAAAACAAAGCAAUCAAAAUAUUGUGGGCGAUCAUUUCACAAAUUUCCCGUGAAAGAUGUGUUCCGCCUU